CUCUAGGUAGCUCAGCUGGAAAAGCACCAGACUGCAAAUCUGAAUGUCACUGGUUCAAUCUGGGUCCCGGAGA
Molecule: transfer RNA, 73 nt
Filed under: Sphaerobolus stellatus SS14
Lineage: Eukaryota; Fungi; Basidiomycota; Agaricomycetes; Geastrales; Sphaerobolaceae
Description: tRNA-Cys (GCA) (tRNA-Cys-GCA-12-1)
Rfam family: tRNA
About the family: Transfer RNA (tRNA) molecules are approximately 80 nucleotides in length. Their secondary structure includes four short double-helical elements and three loops (D, anti-codon, and T loops).
Source: RNAcentral